AGCCCCUGGCGAUGGGCAAAGAGACACCUUGUUGGCAUUGUCAGUCUUCUGUCAGUGAGGGAAAGAGCAGAUGGCAGCCCGUUGUCCAUCCUAGCUUGAUGCCCGGCUUGAUGGCCGAAGCUGUCUUAUGCCUAGGACUCAUAA
Molecule: small nucleolar RNA, 144 nt
Organism: Psammomys obesus (fat sand rat)
Lineage: Eukaryota; Metazoa; Chordata; Mammalia; Rodentia; Muridae
Product: small nucleolar RNA SNORA48
Exons: 1
Source: RefSeq, a predicted model, not a curated record